This is a non-coding RNA of Stegodyphus mimosarum, 71 nucleotides long. The record is from Rfam. NCBI's taxonomy places the organism in Eukaryota, Metazoa, Arthropoda, Arachnida, Araneae, Eresidae.
UCCUUCAUGGUGUAAUGGUAGCACACUCGGCGCGCAAUCGAGAAGUCCAGGUUCGAGCCCUGGCAAGGGCA